GCCUUUUGAACAUUUGCUAAAAACAUCCACAUGUCUAUACAACCGCUAGAUUCUUGAAAGCUUAAAGCAAGAUCAGUACCAUUCAAUUCUUGCCAGACUAUGAGAGUUUCUUCUUGACGGCUGUAUAUAUCUUCCGCAAUCAAUUGUGUUUUCAAAAGGAUGGUUUCAUUAUCAGCUUCUGAACGCACAAUGAAAUAAGCCAACGGUCCCUCUAUUUUUCCAUCGCAAUAACCGGUGCCACAGUCUACCCAGUUUUCAUCUUCCAUUUCGUACACUUUUACACGUCUGGGAAUCGAUGGCACUUCGAUCUUCUGCAAUGCAGCUGCAAUUGCUUCGUCUAAUUCCUCUUCUUCAUUUUCUCCAUCUGAAAUUUCAUCAAUAUUAUUAUUUAAAUCUUCCUCUUCCUUCGUAGAAUCCAUUUCUACGGCGGAUUAAGGGUAGACGUCAGCUUCGAAUUUACGACGUUGGCGUUCGUCACCAAAUUUUCAAAAGUGAAGACGAAAUUCAAACGUGGUGGUGAAUGAAUGCAAUACCGUAGAUUGCACCAAGAUUGUAAUUAUUAAUAAAUGUAUUUCUCAUUAAAUGGCAAUGCCGCUUUACUUAAUUAUUUGGUUUGCCUAAAAUAUAACAAAUAGAUUUGUUAAGCAGUG
Schizosaccharomyces pombe (fission yeast) is the source of this 650-nucleotide non-coding RNA. The record is from the annotation of a GenBank genome assembly. NCBI's taxonomy places the organism in Eukaryota, Fungi, Ascomycota, Schizosaccharomycetes, Schizosaccharomycetales, Schizosaccharomycetaceae.